UCCUAUGUUUGUCGAGGAAAGAUUAGUAUAGACAGUGAACCAGUCAUAGGAGACUCAGGGCCAGGAAAUGGACACUUUCGCUACUUGUAGUCAGAAGUACUACAGAGUAGUUGGCCGGUUCUCGAAUUCAGGACGAACCAGGUUGGUCACAGAUUUGUUUUAUAUUAGCCGGCAGUGUGCAGGUUUCGAGCAUGUGGUCGGGAAGCGUACAGGGGAGGCACAUGGCCCGGCUUGGCGCAUUUCUCUUUAGUUUUAUCAAAAGGAAGGUUUUGGUCCCUUAUCGGAUUUUGAAGUAAUUUGGUUAUUUAUUUCCUCACUAAUUUAUUUGUUUUCUAUUCGCUCAUUCACAAAAUUUCGAGAGACCCGUAACCCUGGGGCGCACGUCUCUCAUACUUGUUUUCACUUCGUGAUUGUUAUUUUCCAAAUUGGACUCCGAUUGUAAGCCCAAAUCUUUUAGCUCACUUUAAAAUUCCGCUUGCGAAAA
Rosa chinensis is the source of this 484-nucleotide long non-coding RNA. RefSeq lists it as uncharacterized. NCBI's taxonomy places the organism in Eukaryota, Viridiplantae, Streptophyta, Magnoliopsida, Rosales, Rosaceae. The record is from RefSeq and is a predicted model, not a curated record. The transcript has 2 exons.